GGUUCCUUAGCUCAGUUGGCUAGAGCGCACGAUUCACAUUCGUGAGGUCACAGGUUCGAGCCCUGUAGGAACCACCA
Molecule: transfer RNA, 77 nt
Filed under: TM7 phylum sp. oral taxon 351
Lineage: Bacteria; Candidatus Saccharimonadota
Also listed under: 1 other name
Description: tRNA-Val
Rfam family: tRNA
About the family: Transfer RNA (tRNA) molecules are approximately 80 nucleotides in length. Their secondary structure includes four short double-helical elements and three loops (D, anti-codon, and T loops).
Source: RNAcentral